UAGAAGGUGGUGUAACGGAAGCACAAGGAGUUUUGAUCUCCCAGGAAAGGGUUCGACCCCCUUCUUUCUAA
RNAcentral lists this transfer RNA (71 nucleotides) under Solenostomus cyanopterus (ghost pipefish). RNAcentral describes it as "tRNA-Gln". It matches the Rfam family "tRNA". Rfam says of the family: Transfer RNA (tRNA) molecules are approximately 80 nucleotides in length. Lineage: Eukaryota; Metazoa; Chordata; Actinopteri; Syngnathiformes; Solenostomidae. The record is from RNAcentral.